UUUUGCCUGGUCAAGAAAUACUGCAAAGGAGUGAAAGAAUGACUGUGGGCCUGAGGUUGGUGGUAGACUUACGAAGGAGCAAGGACAGAGGCAGGAGAGAGCUGGAAGACUACGCUAAUCCACAUGAGAGAGAAGGUGCAUUAGACCAGGAUAGCAGCAGCAGCAGAGCGAAGAGAGCUUGUCUGACAACAGCAACGACUGCAAAUAUCCUUAUUUGA
This 218-nucleotide long non-coding RNA is filed under the name Callithrix jacchus (white-tufted-ear marmoset). Its description in RNAcentral is "lncRNA (ENSCJAG00000087048.1)". Lineage: Eukaryota; Metazoa; Chordata; Mammalia; Primates; Cebidae. The record is from RNAcentral.